RNAcentral lists this unclassified non-coding RNA (261 nucleotides) under Hevea brasiliensis (rubber tree). The record is from RNAcentral. Lineage: Eukaryota; Viridiplantae; Streptophyta; Magnoliopsida; Malpighiales; Euphorbiaceae.
AUGAAGCAACUGAUCCAGCAAUGACAGUAGAAGAACAUGCAAUGACAAAUUGUGUUACCCAGAAACAUCCAAAAAGAUGAAAAAGAAUGGAGAGUGCAAUGUGAUUAGUGUAAUGGAUGCUGUAGCCGCAGCAACUGUCACAGUUCACCCUGCUGGACUUGAGGUCAUAUGAGCAACAAUUGGCAUUACAGUCAUUUUGAAGGACCUGACCAGAGCUAAAAAGAUGGAGUGUAGCAGAAAACCAACACAUAUAGAAGAUUG